CCUACGGGUGGCAGCAGUGGGGAAUAUUGCACAAUGAGGGAAACCCUGAUGCAGCAACGCCGCGUGAGUGAAGAAGUAUUUCGGUAUGUAAAGCUCUAUCAGCAGGGAAGAGAAUGACGGUACCUGAUUAAGAAGCCCCGGCUAACUACGUGCCAGCAGCCGCGGUAAUACGUAGGGGGCAAGCGUUAUCCGGAUUUACUGGGUGUAAAGGGAGCGUAGACGGCUGGCCAAGUCUGAAGUGAAAGCCCGGGGCUUAACCCCGGAACGGCUUUGGAAACUGGCCGGCUGGAGUGCUGGAGAGGCAGGCGGAAUUCCUGGUGUAGCGGUGAAAUGCGUAGAUAUCAGGAGGAACACCGGUGGCGAAGGCGGGUUCCUGGACAUUAACUGACGCUGAGGCACGAAGGCCAGGGGAGCGAAAGGGAUUAGAUACCCUGGUAGUC
Molecule: ribosomal RNA, 440 nt
Filed under: uncultured bacterium
Lineage: Bacteria
Description: partial 16S ribosomal RNA
Rfam family: Bacterial small subunit ribosomal RNA
Source: RNAcentral